Molecule: ribosomal RNA, 435 nt
Filed under: uncultured bacterium
Lineage: Bacteria
Description: partial 16S ribosomal RNA
Rfam family: Bacterial small subunit ribosomal RNA
Source: RNAcentral
AGCGAACGCUGGCGGCAGGCUUAACACAUGCAAGUCGAACGGGCAUCUUCGGAUGUCAGUGGCAGACGGGUGAGUAACACGUGGGAACGUACCCUUCGGUUCGGAAUAACUCAGGGAAACUUGAGCUAAUACCGGAUACGCCCUUUUGGGGAAAGGUUUACUGCCGAAGGAUCGGCCCGCGUCUGAUUAGCUUGUUGGUGCGGUAACGGCCUACCAAGGCGACGAUCAGUAGCUGGUCUGAGAGGAUGAUCAGCCACACUGGGACUGAGACACGGCCCAGACUCCUACGGGAGGCAGCAGUGGGGAAUAUUGGACAAUGGGCGCAAGCCUGAUCCAGCCAUGCCGCGUGAGUGAUGAAGGCCUUAGGGUUGUAAAGCUCUUUUGUCCGGGACGAUAAUGACGGUACCGGAAGAAUAAGCCCCGGCUAACUUCGUG